GGAGAAGUGGAUGAGCGGCUUAAAUCGCUCCCCUGCUAAGGGAGUAAACCGGAAGGUUUCGAGAGUUCGAAUCUCUCCUUCUCCGCCA
RNAcentral lists this transfer RNA (88 nucleotides) under Ishigurovirus osborne. Its description in RNAcentral is "Aeromonas virus 65 tRNA-Ser". It matches the Rfam family "tRNA". From Rfam's summary of the family: Transfer RNA (tRNA) molecules are approximately 80 nucleotides in length. The record is from RNAcentral. Lineage: Duplodnaviria; Heunggongvirae; Uroviricota; Caudoviricetes; Pantevenvirales; Straboviridae.